CGCGCUCACCACCCGCAGAAACACAGUAAUCGGAUCACACACACACACACACACACAGAUCAGCAGCUCUCCACACAUCUCCCGGACUCACCUCGAGGCGUGCGCGGUCAGAGACGCAGGGGGACGCGGAUGAUGAAGCCCAUGGAGGAGAAGAUGGAGGUUCCUCAGGAGACUGUGAUUCCCGACUGAGAGACUUUCUGAGGGAUUCUCCGAGACUCUGAUGCUGAUUUCUCGAGUGUUUCUCAGCAUGGUCACGGACAGUCAGCGACACCUGCUGGACAUGCGCUGCAUUCAUCAGUCACACACUCUCUCUGGCUCUGGGCUCUCUGAGGAUGAAGAGAUCACAGCAACAUCCGGGACAGAUGAGGCGAUACGAGCAGCUGGAGUGAUGGAGGGUCACUAGAUCAUCUCCAGGCUCUCCAUCCUGACAUUUCAGAUCCUUCAAAAAAGCACAAACAUAAUACAAAAGCAGUCAUUUUAAUAGCACACUUUCAUUGAUUUCUGUAGUAAAGUAUGAUCUUACUUUAUAGUUUUGCUUCAGGUUUUCCCCUUUUUCCCCCCAAAAAUGCCGCCGCCACCCUGCCUCAUCCGUCCCUGUAACAUCCAGACAAGAUUCACGUUUCCUCUGUGAUUCAUGUGCUCAAUACUUACAUUUACAUGCUUUUAUCAAACACAAAUGUUUCUCAAUGUAUCAGCAGUAUUAAUGAACAAAUAAAUUAGAUAACUUACGUAGAUUUGUUUGCAUUACUUAUCUAAUGUAAGCAGCGUUGACAACAGUGAAUUCUGCUUUACAGCACACACACAUCACUCACUCAGAUGUCUGUUUCAUGUUGUGAUGUGCUCAUCAUCUGCAAUACUUCUCGAAGAUGUUAAAUAGACAUUUAGGAAGCAUCUUUAAGAUGUAUAUGGUUUAUGUAAAUCUACUUUGGAGACGUAUGUGCUCACUGGAGCUCCCCUGUUAGCUAUAAAUAAAAUGUUUUUACAGCAAAAUCACAACUAUACUAUCUAGCGUCUUUACACCUUCAACAAUUAAACCGUUUACUCUACAAAAAUGCAAUGCAUGAUUUGUGUUCAGUAACUCAUAAAUCUGUCACCAUUCUAUUGCCAAGAUAUAAAAAAAGAUCUCAGAAAGUUUAUAAACGCAUUAUUUUGCAUAGUUCUUUAAAUGUUCAGUGACAUUUGUAAAGUGUUUUUAUGUAGUUUUAUAUUGUUGUGUAACUAUUUAUGUUAUGUCAAUGAUAAUGGCCAAGCCAAUUAUUAGGCCAAUAAACAAGUACUAUUGUA
Molecule: long non-coding RNA, 1284 nt
Organism: Ctenopharyngodon idella (grass carp)
Lineage: Eukaryota; Metazoa; Chordata; Actinopteri; Cypriniformes; Xenocyprididae
Exons: 3
Source: RefSeq, a predicted model, not a curated record